CAGCAGGCGCGCAAAUUACCCAAUCUCAAUUCGAGGAGGUAGUGACAAGAAAUACCAAUACAGGACCAAUGGUGCUGUGUUUGGAAUGAGUGUAAUUUAAAAACAUUAUCAAGGAACCAUUGGAGGGCAAGUCUGGUGCCAGCAGCCGCGGUAAUUCCAGCUCCAAUAGUGUAUACUAAUGUUGCUGCAGUUAAAAAGCUCGUAGUUGGAUUUCGGUUAAUAGAGUGCUAGUCUACUUUUUUAUAAGUACGCACUGCCAUUCUAUUUCCUUCUUUUCAGUAACAAAAUUUAUUUUGUUCUGAAUUAUUUACUUUGAAAAAAUUAGAGUGUUCAAAUCAGGCGUAUUUUGCCUUUGAAUAUAUUAGCAUGGGAUAAUGAAAUAAGACUUUUUGCCUUAUUCUCGUUGGUUUUUGAGGCUAAAGUAAUGAUUAAUAGGGAUAGUUGGGGUCAUUAGUAUUUAAUUGUCAGAGGUGAAAUUCUAAGAUUAAUUAAAGACUAACUACUGCGAAAGCAUUUGACAAGGAUGUUUUCAUUAAUCAAGAACGAAGGUUGGGGGAUCGAAGAUGAUCAGAUACCGUCGUAGUCUCAACCAUAAACUAUGCCGACCAAGGAUUCGGGGGUGUUAUAUGAAUGACCCUCCGGGCACUUAUAGAGAAAUCAUAAGUAUUUGGGUUCCGGGGGGAGUAUGGUCGCAAGGCUGAAACUUAAAGGAAUUGACGGAAGGGCACAACCAGGAGUGGAACUUGCGGUUUAAUUUGACCCAACACGGGAAAACUUACCAGGUCCAGACACAGUAAGGAUUGACAGAUUGAGAGCUCUUUCUUGAUUCUGUGGUUGGUGGUGCAUGGCCGUUUCUAGUUGGUGGAGUGAUUUGUCUGGUUAAUUCCGUUAACGAACGAGACCUUAACCUAGUAAAUAGUUACACGAACCUGAAUUUAUUCAUUUGUUCGUGGAUAACUUCUUAGAGGGACUCUUCACGUAAAGAGUGAAUGGAAGUUUGAGGCAAAAACAGGUCUGUGAUGCCCUUAGAUGUUCUGGGCUACACGCGUGUUACACUGAUAUCUUCAACAAGCAUAAAAUUUUCCUUACCCGAUGGGGUUGGGCAAUCUUUUAAAAUGAUAUCGUGAUGGGGAUAGAUCAUUGUAAUUAUUGGUCUUGAACGAGGAAUUCCUAGUAAGGGUAAGUCAUCAACUUGCCCUGAUUACGUCCCUGCCCUUUGUACAUACCGCCCGUCGCUCCUACCGAUGAAUGGUCCGGUGAGGAUUUAGGAGGAACGUAGAUACUGGUGUUAAAGCCAUUCUAUUGGUCCAAAUUCAUUCAAACCUUAUCAUUUAAAGGAAGGAGAAGUCGUAACAAGGU
This 1359-nucleotide ribosomal RNA is filed under the name metagenome. Its description in RNAcentral is "SSU rRNA". It matches the Rfam family "Eukaryotic small subunit ribosomal RNA", at positions 426 to 1800 of the family's 1831-position model. The record is from RNAcentral.